AUUUAAAUAGCUUAAAUUUAAAGCAUGACAUUGAAGCUGUUAAUAUGAUUUUUUAAUCUUUAAAUA
RNAcentral lists this transfer RNA (66 nucleotides) under Thaumatosmylus hainanus. RNAcentral describes it as "tRNA-Phe". The record is from RNAcentral. Lineage: Eukaryota; Metazoa; Arthropoda; Insecta; Neuroptera; Osmylidae.